UGAGGAAUAUUGGUCAAUGGGCGAGAGCCUGAACCAGCCAAGUAGCGUGCAGGAUGACGGCCCUAUGGGUUGUAAACUGCUUUUAUGUGGGGAUAAAGUGCGUGACGUGUCAUGCAUUGCAGGUACCACAUGAAUAAGGACCGGCUAAUUCCGUGCCAGCAGCCGCGGUAAUACGGAAGGUCCGGGCGUUAUCCGGAUUUAUUGGGUUUAAAGGGAGCGUAGGCUGUCUAUUAAGCGUGUUGUGAAAUAUACCGGCUCAACCGGUGGCUUGCAGCGCGAACUGGUCGAAUUGAGUAUGCAGGAAGUAGGCGGAAUUCAUGGUGUAGCGGUGAAAUGCUUAGAUAUCAUGACGAACUCCGAUUGCGCAGGCAGCUUACUGUAGCAUAACUGACGCUGAUGCUCGAAAGUGCGGGUAUCAAACAGG
RNAcentral lists this ribosomal RNA (424 nucleotides) under Verrucomicrobiota bacterium. RNAcentral describes it as "Verrucomicrobia bacterium partial 16S ribosomal RNA". It matches the Rfam family "Bacterial small subunit ribosomal RNA", at positions 355 to 776 of the family's 1533-position model. Lineage: Bacteria; Pseudomonadati; Verrucomicrobiota. The record is from RNAcentral.